RNAcentral lists this ribosomal RNA (1022 nucleotides) under Prodaticus grammicus. RNAcentral describes it as "SSU rRNA". It matches the Rfam family "Eukaryotic small subunit ribosomal RNA", at positions 45 to 998 of the family's 1831-position model. Lineage: Eukaryota; Metazoa; Arthropoda; Insecta; Coleoptera; Dytiscidae. The record is from RNAcentral.
AUAGCAUGCAUGUCUCAGUACAAGCCACAUUAAGGUGAAACCGCGAAAGGCUCAUUAAAUCAGUUAUGGUUCCUUAGAUCGUACCCACAUUUACUUGGAUAACUGUGGUAAUUCUAGAGCUAAUACAUGCAAACAGAGUUCCGACCGGAGACGGGAGGAAUGCUUUUAUUAGAUCAAAACCAAUCGGCGGCGGGUUCGCCCGUUCGCCGCUCAACCUGGUGACUCUGAAUAACUUUCGGCUGAUCGCACGGUCUCGCACCGGCGACGCAUCUUUCAAAUGUCUGCCUUAUCAACUGUCGAUGGUAGGUUCUGCGCCUACCAUGGUCGUAACGGGUAACGGGGAAUCAGGGUUCGAUUCCGGAGAGGGAGCCUGAGAAACGGCUACCACAUCCAAGGAAGGCAGCAGGCGCGCAAAUUACCCACUCCCGGCACGGGGAGGUAGUGACGAAAAAUAACGAUACGGGACUCAUCCGAGGCCCCGUAAUCGGAAUGAGUACACUUUAAAUCCUUUAACGAGGAUCAAUUGGAGGGCAAGUCUGGUGCCAGCAGCCGCGGUAAUUCCAGCUCCAAUAGCGUAUAUUAAAGUUGUUGCGGUUAAAAAGCUCGUAGUUGAAUCUGUGUCUCGCGCUGUCGGUUCACCGCCCGCGGUGUCAAACUGGCAUGCCGCGAGACGUCCUGCCGGUGGGCUGGCGUGGCGUUCGCGUCCCGCCGGCCCGACUUGAAAUCCUACCGCGGUGCUCUUCACUGAGUGUCGAGGUGGGCCGGCACGUUUACUUUGAACAAAUUAGAGUGCUCAAAGCAGGCUAAAACUUCGCCUGAAUACUGUGUGCAUGGAAUAAUGGAACAGGACCUCGGUUCUAUUUUGUUGGUUUUCGGAACCCCGAGGUAAUGAUUAAUAGGGACAGGUGGGGGCAUUCGUAUUGCGACGUUAGAGGUGAAAUUCUUGGAUCGUCGCAAGACGGACAGAAGCGAAAGCAUUUGCCAAAGAUGUUUUCAUUAAUCAAGAACGAAAGUCAGAGGUU